AACGAACGCUGGCGGCAUGCCUAACACAUGCAAGUCGAACGAGACCUUCGGGUCUAGUGGCGCACGGGUGCGUAACGCGUGGGAACCUGCCCUUAGGUUCGGAAUAACUCCCCGAAAGGGGUGCUAAUACCGGAUAAUGUCUUCGGACCAAAGAUUUAUCGCCUUUGGAUGGGCCCGCGUUGGAUUAGCUGGUUGGUAGGGUAAAAGCCUACCAAGGCGACGAUCCAUAGCUGGUCUGAGAGGAUGAUCAGCCACACUGGGACUGAGACACGGCCCAGACUCCUACGGGAGGCAGCAGUGGGGAAUAUUGGACAAUGGGCGAAAGCCUGAUCCAGCAAUGCCGCGUGAGUGAUGAAGGCCUUAGGGUUGUAAAGCUCUUUUACCCGGGAUGAUAAUGACGGUACCGGGAGAAUAAGCUCCGGCUAACUCCGUG
This 433-nucleotide ribosomal RNA is filed under the name uncultured bacterium. RNAcentral describes it as "partial 16S ribosomal RNA". It matches the Rfam family "Bacterial small subunit ribosomal RNA", at positions 29 to 507 of the family's 1533-position model. The record is from RNAcentral.